AGGAGGAGGAGUAGGGGCCAUCCAGAGAGGCUGAUCCUUUCACUUUCUUUUCAAUCCCCCCCCCUUCUCACACCACUUUGGGUGUCUGCCAGGGAGACCGGGAGAUCCUGGAGCGAACAAGGGCUAGGACUGGCCGAGUCUCAAGAGAUCUGAGGAGAGUGACUCCAAGGCUUGGUCCCUAAGAGCCCUCGGGGGAGUUAGGGAAGGCCAAACCAAGGCAACUGAAGGAAGGGCUGGCUCACUUUGUCCUGAGAACUGCGCCUGGAUGGACAAACCUACUCUGGACGGACAGCGCCUGGUCACGGCCAGCUUGACGGCCCUGGCUGCCUUCUUGGUUGGAGGAUGAGGCAGUGGGGCGUGGAGGUGGGCAGCUACAGAGCUUGCAGGGCCCACAGCAAAAGGAAGGGUAGAGUCCUUGCAUCAGGAAUGGUGACAGCCAAGUGUUAAUCAAAGGUUUCCCAGUGGCAAAGCCAACUCUCCAAGAGGCUGCCUGGGGCCUGAGCUCUCUUGGCCUACUUGCGUUCUGUUUUGACAUCUCACUCAGCUCCUACAGUUCCCUCACUGAUUUCUGUCACGAGGGUGGACGGGAUGCCUUCCUUCCCACUCAAGACCGUGACACUUCUCUGCUUUCUUGUAGGGCAAGUCUUCUCACACUCUUUUUUUCUGGUCAUACCCGCUUGCCCUGCACCUCUGCUUGGUUGCAAAUGUCAUCAGCCUUUUCGGGGCCACACUCACCCUGGCCCCCACACUCUCCUGAGUAUUUCACAGGUCCAUUCACAGGGGCCCUCCAUAUAUGUCAGCCUCUGCACCAGCUUCGAGGACACCAACCAGGAAAGGUUGAGAAGGCCAAUGGACUCAUCAAACCACAGCUCACUAAGCUCGCCAUUGAACUCGGGUUAUCUUGGCCCUCCUUCUCCUCAUUGCCCUUACCCGCCUCCUGGACACCCCGUGCUCUCCUACAGAAACUUGUCUUCUUUGGUUCCUCAAGAAACAGAUGGAUGACAAUGAACUGGAUGCUUCUCCACUCACACCUCCCGCUGAAUGUGAGCUCACCAAUUCCCGACUCCUCUUUCCCACUUCUCCCUGUGCCCGCAGGAAGUAGCCAAACUUGAACUGGCGUCCCUACACCCAAAGAGACUAGAAUGCUUGGGUGGGAGCUCCACCUCAACCCCUGGCACCCUGGCACCCUGGCAUCCCUGUACCCAAAGAGUCUGGAAUGUUUGGAAGGAGUCUGGUGGAAGAUCCACCUCAACUGCCCUCCCCAUCUCUUUCCCUAAACCCGCCCCUUCAAAGCCCACCAAACACAGCUCCUCCCCAAGAGGGGCGCAAGAUCACGCCCACAGGGUAUGUAAGCUACUUCCCCAAAAACAGUCUCAUGGUUCUCCCGGUCUCACGUCCCAGUCUCCUCUCUGAGGGGCCGGGGAAUCACCUGAGCAUGCUUUACCCAUUAAACCUGGGCUUUUCCUCA
Molecule: non-coding RNA, 1468 nt
Organism: Peromyscus maniculatus bairdii (prairie deer mouse)
Lineage: Eukaryota; Metazoa; Chordata; Mammalia; Rodentia; Cricetidae
Source: RefSeq, a predicted model, not a curated record